UACGACUUCUCUUUCUCUCAAUUUUUCUAGUCAUUUCUCAGAGUUUUCUCACACUUUCUCUUCAUAGUUUUUGCAAGAAAAGGCCACUCAAAUCUUUGGCAUGUUAUGUUUGAUGAAUCUUGGAUAAUAGAGCUGAUAAAGGUUGAUUUUACUUUAGGUGAUGAAAAGUUUGUGGGAAUUAAAGGGCUAAGAUGAGCCUUAAGAAGGCGGCAAUCCAAGAAAUAGUAAUAGAGGAAGAAGAUCCAAUGCAACAAAAGCCAUGGAUGAUCAUGUUCCUGGCUCAAUGGGAACCACUGCCAGCUUUUCUUUGAGAUUGGGCCAGAUCAUCUUCUCUUCUGCUUCUCUCUUUUUCAUGUCUUUGAGUGUUCAAUUCUACAGCUACACUGCCUUCUGCUACCUGGUCACAAUCAUGGGUUUGGCAAUCCCAUGGAGUUUCACACUGGCAAUUGUUGAUGGAUACUCUGUUCUGUUUAAAUGCCAUAUCCGGCAGCCUGGAAUGCUGCUGAUUGUUACCAUUGGAGAUUGGGUUUUAUCAAUUCUUAUGCUAGCUGCAGCAUGCUCAACAGCUAGUGUUGUGGAUCUCCUGCUCCAUGCUGGUGGGUCAUAUUGCCCUCCUAGGGUUUGCGGUAGAUACCAAAUAUCUGCUGCUAUGGCAUUCUUGUCUUGGUUUCUGUCCAUGGUUUCAUCUCUGUUCAAUCUCUGGUUACUUCCCUCCUUGUGAUUUUCAGGCUGGUUUUUGAUGUACCCCAUUUGCCAAAUUUUGAUGACAGUUUAUGGGUUUUCUAAAUCCAAGAUUUGUACAAAGCGAAUAUCAAGUGUUUCAAAUUUUGAAAGCGGGUGAAUAUGAAAUGAUAUGGUUCUUGUAAAUAGUUGUGGGCAAUUGUCCAAGAUAAUAACAAUAAGAUGACCAGUCUCUGAAUAUUCUCCUUCUCUUCUUUGUGGACUCUCUGUUUAAAGCUCGCUUUGCGGUUGUCCUCUAGGAUACUUUUCCCGUCAUCUGUUCGCUCUGAAUAUUAAACAAGCUUAGUCUGCACAGUUCACAGCUGUUUUCUGGUUGCUAUCUGAAGAACCCAAGACAUGAAUUGGCACGUUAACUCUACUGCACCAUGAUCUGCUGCCUUUUACAGUGCAGUACAAAUCUUAAGGGCAACUA
RNAcentral lists this unclassified non-coding RNA (1153 nucleotides) under Hevea brasiliensis (rubber tree). The record is from RNAcentral. Lineage: Eukaryota; Viridiplantae; Streptophyta; Magnoliopsida; Malpighiales; Euphorbiaceae.